RNAcentral lists this non-coding RNA (266 nucleotides) under Rhizobium sp. RNAcentral also lists the same sequence under 1 other name. The record is from RNAcentral. Lineage: Bacteria; Pseudomonadati; Pseudomonadota; Alphaproteobacteria; Hyphomicrobiales; Rhizobiaceae.
AAUUAUCGUGGAUCAAUUGGUUCCCCGGCGGCAAAAGGCGUUGGGGAGUAAAUGGGAACGUGACGGGUGGACCCAUUCUGGGCAUCUUCAUCACGGCCGACCCCGCGACUGUAGAGCGGUCAGAAUGCGUCAUGCCGGACGGUGUCCGGCAAAAGCCACUGCGGCGACGGGCUUCACGCCCAUGCCCUGGGAAGGCGAGGCGAAUUCCUUGGUGCCAUGCACCUGACGCCGCGAGCCAGGAAACCUGCCGGUUGAUGAAGGGCAUG